RNAcentral lists this ribosomal RNA (252 nucleotides) under uncultured bacterium. RNAcentral's name for it is "partial 16S ribosomal RNA". It matches the Rfam family "Bacterial small subunit ribosomal RNA", at positions 524 to 776 of the family's 1533-position model. The record is from RNAcentral.
UACGGAGGAUGCGAGCGUUAUCCGGAUUUAUUGGGUUUAAAGGGUGCGUAGGCGGACUGUCAAGUCAGCGGUAAAAUUGAGAGGCUCAACCUCUUCCCGCCGUUGAAACUGGUGGUCUUGAGUGGAUGAGAAGUACGCGGAAUGCGUGGUGUAGCGGUGAAAUGCAUAGAUAUCACGCAGAACUCCGAUUGCGAAGGCAGCGUACCGGCACCCAACUGACGCUGAGGCACGAAAGCGUGGGGAUCAAACAGG